GCUAAAGCCCUCAGGAGGGUGGCCGGAAAGAGCUCGCGAUGGGCGGCUCAUUUGAAGGGGAAGCCGGAAAUGGACCUGUGAAAUCCCAACGAGAGCUGUGAAGGAAGCGGUUGAUGCAGUGGGGACAGUGCAGAGGGCCAAACAGGAAUUCCAAGCCAAACUGGCAGUAAGCAGAGCGAGGGAAAUAGAGAGCUACAGAAAGCACAAGGCAUCAAACAAACCAAACGUCUAUCUCAUCCCCGGUCCCUGCUGUAGGCAAAGGAGAGUGGCUAAAAGGAGAAAGGGACUGGUGCACGCGUGGAGGGGGGUUCUUCAGAAGUCUCACUGUUGGAGCUCGGGAGACAGCUUAGUUAGUCGAGUGCAAGCAUGGAGGUGUGGGUCCAAUUCUCAGAACCCACCUAGGAAGCUGGGUGCCGUGGUGGCAGGUGCUUGUAAUCCUCGUGCUGGAGAUGCGGAGUCAGGUGGAUCCUCUGGGUUCACUGGCCAGCCAGGAUGGCCUAAGGACAUCAAGAAACCCCAUAGAUGGAUACUGCCCGAGGAAUGACACCAUACACACACACACACACACACACACACACACACACACACACACACACACACACACGAAUAGUUUCUGUAUUUGCAUUUGAAAGUAUCUUCUAGAGACUUAGAGUUGUUGAUUUGUUAUAGAAGGUAACUCACACAGAAGAUAACUAGAAAUCUCUCCUGCAUGGCUGUUUGUACAUCUCAGUGUGUUGUUAGUGAUCCAUCUGCUUACGCAAACUAUGACAAUUCUGGUUGUGGGCUUGACAUGGCGGUGCACGCCUUUAAUCCCUGCGCUAGGGAGGCAGAGGCAGGUGGAUUUCUGUGAGUUUGAGGCCAGCCUGGUCUACAGCGUGAGCUCCAGGCCAACCAAGCCUGCAUAGUAAGACCCUGUCCCAAAAUAAUCAAUCGAGAAACAAACAAACAAAAUUGCAUCUGUAAAUUCUGGACAUAAAAUGGUCCUGAAUCUUGACAAUAGCCAUUAUUUUUGAAGUGACUGGUUACUAAAAUUCAUUGUUAGUAAUAUACAAAAUGAAAUUCUUUUGUGGCAAAACAUUCCCUUCCCAGUGGUCUGUGGAGACAAGCACAAGGACUGAAGAUUUUCAUGGCAACUUCAGCAGCUUUCAAUUUAAGUAUUUCCCGUCUCGUCUCCAUUUGCAGCUUCCCAGAGGAGCACAGUGGCCACAUACAGCGACGCCUAAUUAUGAGGACCAGUUCUGACCUAGUUUAAUUGUUCUGGCAGGCAGUUGUGGAUGGGGGAAUAAUCUGAUGCGACACCAUGACCAGGCAUAUUAAAAGGACUUGACCAUACCAACUGCUAGUGAGGAGGUGGAGCAACUGGAACCAUUGUAUGUGCUGAGGAGAGGGCUACUGGACAUGGAUGCUAGAAAACUGUAUUUAGCCUGUGACACAAGCAUUUUACUCCCAGCUUUGUGACUGGGAUGACAGUUGGCUCGAUAUUCAAUUGACCACUGUAGAGGCAAGGAAGUCGCCAGAAGGCUGUAGACUGAAGUGGAUGUGUGGUGCUCAGAGACAACCUGUGGAACUGUUCUCCACCACGUGGAUCUCAACGAUCAAACCCAAUUCAUCAGACUUUGUGGCAAAGAGCCUCUACCUGCUGAGCCAUCCCAUCAGCCUCCAAAGUAGACCACAUUUUAGGGAUGCCUUGAGGCUCAGAUACCUUGGUGGUGGGCCAUAGACUGUGUUAAAUAGGGCAUUUUACCCGAUAAUCAAAAGCAUUUUUUCAAUGUUUCAUUUAUUUGCUUUGCAAACCUUUUACAUGUUGAAGUCCACAAUCUUGUUUAAUGAGCAGACUAUUAUUUGUGGAGAUUAAACUGAGUGUCAUGCUCUAUGAUUCUUAUAUCUUAAAUCACGUCCUAGUUUUCCAUGCUACAUUACAGGAUCAUUUUGAUU
Peromyscus maniculatus bairdii (prairie deer mouse) is the source of this 1935-nucleotide long non-coding RNA. RefSeq lists it as uncharacterized. Lineage: Eukaryota; Metazoa; Chordata; Mammalia; Rodentia; Cricetidae. The record is from RefSeq and is a predicted model, not a curated record.